GCCUACGGGGGGGCAGCAGUGGGGAAUAUUGCACAAUGGGGGAAACCCUGAUGCAGCGACGCCGCGUGAGGGAAGAAGGUUUUCGGAUUGUAAACCUCUGUCUUUGGUGACGAAAGAUGACGGUAGCCAAAGAGGAAGCUACGGCUAACUACGUGCCAGCAGCCGCGGUAAUACGUAGGUGGCAAGCGUUGUCCGGAAUUAUUGGGUGUAAAGGGAGCGUAGGCGGGAAGACAAGUUGAAUGUUUAAACUAUCGGCUCAACCGAUAAUCGCGUUCAAAACUGUUUUUCUUGAGUGAAGUAGAGGC
RNAcentral lists this ribosomal RNA (305 nucleotides) under uncultured bacterium. RNAcentral's name for it is "bacterial SSU rRNA". It matches the Rfam family "Bacterial small subunit ribosomal RNA", at positions 337 to 658 of the family's 1533-position model. The record is from RNAcentral.